UUCACAUUGUCUCUACCAUUGUACCUAUAUCUGUCAUCUCGCCUGUCUCCCUCCUUAAUGUAAUACCGUUCCCGAUUUAUAUCACCUCUUUCACUCUCCCAAUCUCUUUUUCUCUCACCACCCCUUGUUCUAUCUGUACUCCUAUCUCUCUCCUUUCCUCUUCUCCGGUCCCUCUCAUAUACUGCCUCCAGGCUCCUAUCUCCUUCCUGUUCUUGUCUCAUAUCCCUAACCUCCUCCCUUUCCCUGAUCUUAACUUUUUCAACGUCCCUUCUAUUCCUCUCCUUGCUCCUUCCACGCUCCUUCUCCAUUCUACGCACCCAUUCAACCUCCCUAUUCCUGUUUGUUUCCCCUCGCUUGCUCUCCCUGUGUAAGUCUCUAUCCCUAUCA
Molecule: long non-coding RNA, 387 nt
Filed under: Lupinus mutabilis
Lineage: Eukaryota; Viridiplantae; Streptophyta; Magnoliopsida; Fabales; Fabaceae
Description: partial ncRNA
Source: RNAcentral